AAAAAAAAAGAAAAAGCCCUUUCUGAUGGCAGUGCACAGGAUGAGACCAGCUAUUUCUUGGAUGCAGAGGACUAACACCAAAAUGAGCACUCUGUGCAUGCCAGAGUCCUCAUGUCAGGGGCCAUUUACAUCACUCAUUCAUGACCCACACAUACCAUUGACUCCCUCAUUGUCUCAGAGAGUCACCAGGCUGGUGGAUGCUACCACAGGAGGCUGCGUGGGAGACACUUCACACGGUCUUCUGCUUAUUCUCCUUCAGCAGUGUUCAGACUCCAGUGGGGACCAGCAGCACAGGACACAGGUGACACAGGAGGUUUAUCUUAAAGGAGUUUGUAGGAUUAAAAACUACUUUUAUUUUUUUGUGGACCUGGGAUGGAACCUGAGGUUUUGUGCGUACUAAUGCUAAUCCAGGGCUCUGCGGUUGAACCAGUCCCUAUAGAAUUUUUGCAAGUAAAUUUAAGCACUCAAAAUCUUCAUUUUGAAGGUGUUAGAACCUUAUCAACUCUGGCAUUUAUUAUCUAUCAGACUCACACAUAUCUGUGUACUCAGUCUGGUGGUGUGUUCUGUACAACAGGAAGACGGGAUACCGUUGCCGCCCUUACUGUUUAGUAUGGGGGCAGUCAUUUUAAUAGCACACAUGGUAGGAAUUUUGAUGGAGAGGGACAAAGAGGAUGGUGGAGGGACUCCUAAGAGGUGUCAAAGGUAAAAAAUUUAGUUUUUAUAUUCAUAAAAAAAAGGAAGUGAAUCUUGACAGAUGGUUGGGAGGCAUCUAGAAUCUGAGAGAGAGAGAGAGAGAGAGAGAGAGAGAGAGAGAGAGAGAGAGAGAGAAUAGGACCCAGAGGAGUAAGAGUACAGGUAGGUUGUAAAACUGGAUGGUUUUGUAUGGCUGGGAAGGCCGCACUUUGCACUGGAAUUUUCAUUUAAGGACCCAUGGACUUUUGAGAGAAGCAUUAGCCAUCCAUGGAUGGCAUCUCCAUUCAGUUUCCUGAUCUCUCUCACCCUCUCUCAGAUUAUAUCGUUUUUAACAAACUUAUAGAAUAGUAGGUUUCCAUAUGACUUUUUCAUGUAUCCUUAGUUCUGCUUAUACCUCCCUUCUCCCCUUCCCUAUUCUACCACCCGCUCCCUGCUUAAGCCUCCCCGCUCCCAGUGUUCUCCCCUUCAUUCUCAUGUCCCACAUGGUCUACUCCCUCUCUCCCUUAAAGGCCUCCAGCCCCUCUCCCCUGUCAGUGGACCUUUCCUGUCUUUUCAGCUGGUACCAGCACUCAAUGUUCCAACUAAAAGUCUUAAGCACUGAGGGCCAAGUGUGGUCCCCUUUCAGGAAGUCCAGAGGAUGUACGACUGUGGAGGCGGCAGGUGGAGGUGAUAGAGAUGCCAAAGCAGAGCUUCUUCGGUAGUCAAGUGGCAGGCGGGAGACCCAGAAGCAACUUCCGCACAGGAGGGCAGAUGAGUGGUCCAGAGUGGUCCAGACAGGCGUGAGAGCUUUUCUUCCUCCAGGAAGCGCAUCCCCGUCUCAUUUCCAAUUCCAGAAUGCCUGCCCAGUCGGUUCUCUUCUCACCAUUUCUACUGCCCGGACCUCAGUGCUGCCUUGGACUGCGGCAGAGUUGACCUAGAUGCCCCCGUUCUGGUUGCUCUCUCUCUCUCUCUGGCCUGCUCCUUUCCCCUCUCCUUGUGUGUGUUGUCCGAGUCUGACCCUGUCAGCUGGAUAACGAUGGCCAGGCUACUUAGCCUCUCUAGGCUUUGGUUUGUUCACGGGGAUCUUGUGGGUUCUGUGAGACAAUGUGUGAGAACCUCUUGCUUCAUGCGUGGCUCCAGCAGGCCAUGAAUUGCCAUUGUUUCUCCCUUGAUCAGAGCAGGAGCGGUGGACCGGUGGUUGUGAUCAUCCUCUCAUGGGGAGACUGGAUGGGUUUCCCUGGGUCAGGAGCUGUAUGGAUCACAGUGGAUGUGUGUUCCUACCUGCAGGUUCCCUAUGUCCUGUAAGCUUGCCACAUUCAUGUCUUUAAAAAUGCCUCCGUGGGCUGCCAUAGUAGAAGGAGAAAUCACUUGUACGUGUAUGUUGUCCAAAUGGUAUUUUUAAAGAUUUAUUUUUGUGUGUU
Non-coding RNA from Peromyscus maniculatus bairdii (prairie deer mouse), 2093 nucleotides. Lineage: Eukaryota; Metazoa; Chordata; Mammalia; Rodentia; Cricetidae. The record is from RefSeq and is a predicted model, not a curated record.